CGAACACAUACCUGAGAGCAGUGAAACACCUUGACGGUGGAAUAUAAUCAUAAUGACAAACAUAAUAAAUCGAGUUAUUGGCCUAUAAUCCUGUUUAAUGUCAACCAUGAAUUACUGCCUUUGUUUCCCCCCCUGUAGAAUCAGCCGCAGGAUAAUAAUAUAGGAUAAUGCUGUAUGUAAGCCUUUUUAUUGGGUUGUAUUGCGCUAUUUAAUAAACGACAGCGCAAUUUUAACCUUUAUGAGUUUUAGGCUACAUUGAUCAGGGGCUACAAAAUAUUUUUGCAGUAGUUCUAUAGCAGGAUAUUUUUUAUGUCUACAAUGUUGCCAUGUGAUGCUAUAAAUAUUAUUAAUAUGCCUUUAAUAUCAAGUUAAAAACAAACAAAAAGAAAAAAAACUGAUUUGUGCGGACUAAUCCGUGCGUAAAAUUACCAAGUCGCCAAAAAGAAGGCGCAAAUGAACACCGACGCUGUAAUCCAUCUUUUAUUUUAUUUAGAAAAAUCACCAUGAGCAGCAUAUUGAACUUAUAACCUAAAUGACAGGAUGAAGGCCUUAUUUUAUCACACUUCGUCUCACAGCACAGCACAGGCCUGUCGCUGUAGGCUAACAUAGCCUGUUGUUCUUCCUCUUCUCUCAAGGAGAAUGUGGACAAAAACGAAAAGCACCAAAAUACCUUUAAAAUCCUCACAAUGUUCCCGUUGCUGCGGAUGUUAUACCAACUUACAUUGGAAAAUGGAAAUCGAUUGUGCGUUGUUGUAAAACGUCUUAAGAGGACAGUAGCUGGUUACUGGGAGGAAACAGCGAAACAGAAAAUCUAACAAUCAAACUGCAGUCACACCAUAGCUUAGCCAUGACUGGUGUGUGUGUGUGUGUGUGUGUGUGUGUGUGUGUGUGUGUGUGUGUGUGUGUGUGCAUGACCAUAUCUGCAUUUCAAACCCACAGUAACAACAAAUAUACACAGCAACAAUGACAACAACAGCAAGGACAACAAUACCAACAAAUAUGCCCCUAUAAGGCUACAUGCAGAGUUUAUAAAAACAAAACAAAGAAGCUUUAUUCUGUCUUCUGGAGCAAAUUCCUUAAAAGCUCCUUUCUGAUUAAUAAGGGAGACCAGGAUUGGUUGUAACACAGAGAACUUCUCCACUAGGAGCAAAGUGAAACAAGUUUCUGUACAGACCUGUCAGGCACCUGAAAUACAGCAAGAAGAAGAAGUGGUGUUUUGCUUCCUUUUUUAUGUUGCUUAUUGUAAAUAUAUAAAAUCUCGUAAAUUUAGCAAAUGCACUGUGGUUACAAGUGCAUGACAUGUAAAAGGUUGUGAUUAUACAAAACCUACAUCAGUAUUUUUAACUAUUAUGACCCACGCAUUUGUGCAGAAACUUCAAUGGAGGACCAGGAAAAGACAAGAGCG
Molecule: long non-coding RNA, 1405 nt
Organism: Astatotilapia calliptera (eastern happy)
Lineage: Eukaryota; Metazoa; Chordata; Actinopteri; Cichliformes; Cichlidae
Source: Ensembl